GUUUUUUUUUCUUUAGUAAUCAGAAAAAACUGAGUAUUUGAAUAAAUAUCAAACUGCUAUGCUUUUUCCAAUUGAAUUUCUUCGUUAUUUUGAAUUGAACUUAUUUGUUUUAUUCUUUAGUAACCAGAAAAAUCCGAGUUUUCAAAUAUAAUAUCAAACUACUACUUUUUUUUGAACUUCUUGUCCCAUUUUUUAAUAAUGAGGAAAUCUGAAUUUUGUAUAACCAUCGACCUCAUCCUCUUUUUUAUUUUGGACUUCUUAGUUUUAUUUCUUUUAGUGAUGGAAAAAAUCCUAGUUUUUAAAUAAACAUCGAGCCACUCUGUUUUUUUAAUUUGAAAUUCAAGGUUUUUUGUGGAAAUGAAAAAAAUCUAUUUUUGAUUAAUAGUGAACUUGUGUAUUUUUAAAUUUUGGACUUUCUUGGUAUUUCAAUUUGAACUUCUUAGUUUUUAGUUUUUUAGAAACAAUUUUUUUAAUAAACUUCGAAUCACGUCGUCGUUUCAAUUUGAACUUCUUGUUUGAUUUUUUUAAUUGAGGGGUGGGGUUGGUUAUUUUGUUUUUGUAAAGUUGUGUUGUUUUUUUUGUAAACUUUUCAAUUGUUUAUUUUUGUUAAAGUCGUUUUUGCUUUUUUAUAUAUUAACUUCCAAGAGUUGAUUUUGUUGCUUUUUCCAAAAAAAAUCGCAUCAAGGAUAUAUAAGAAUAGUUUUUUGCAUGCACAUAUGAUCGUUCUGUAGAUAAUAUACAUGAAGGAUGCGAUGUGUGAAAUUUUACCAAAAUUGAACGAGCAUAUGAAGUCGUUGGUGUACGCCCCAAGCCCUCUAUGGAACAAUGCAAAAUUUUGCAAUGUUUUUUUUUGCUAGGGAAGCAAGCAAUAGUCGUAGUAUUGAAGUAUAAGCUUCUCCCAUAUUAGUGUUUGUUCCAAAAUGAACAUUUUGAACAACGCACAACACGCAUUAUGAACUUCUCCUCAACCAUCUUUUUGUUCAUUUUUUAUUUUUGUUUUUACAGUACACAAACGGUGUCCCAACUCAUAUAUUUUUUCAAGUGACAAAUUGUUAUUUUUGGAAAGAACCACAUUGAGCUAUGAAUAUGUCUGAUCGAAAAUUCAGGUUUGGGAAGCAAGUUGUGUGUGUUGGGCAACAAGGGAUACAUAAUUCUGAACCGAAAGUGUUUGUUUUGCUUCAGGCAAUAUUUCUUUCAGAUUUAGUAUAAAGAUUCAGUAAGGAUUCAUGGAAUUAGCAAUAUUAAAGCAAGAAUACCCAACAUCGCUUGUGUAGAUUCAGCCAACGAAAACCAUACAUGUGGGACUUGAACUACCGUAGAUGAAUGACAAUAGUAGAACAUAUUUAAAUUCUUGGCAUGGAAGGUCAACUUUGUUCUGCUCUCCAGAGCGUGACGCUAGCCAACACACGUCCAGCAAGCCCAUAAGCACACAUGUCUAGUAUCCAGCAACAGCAAGGAAUGCAAACCACCGCGAAGAAAAGUGCAUAGCUGUAGUAGGACUUUGGCGUAUAGUUGUUGUAGAACUUCAUGCAACGUCUAUGAACAUCCGAAUGGUUGUAAAGGGGAAAAUGAGAAAUUUUCCUGUAAAUUAGACACACACAUGCACACCCCUGCAGUUUUAUCAAGAUUGUUAAAUCCAGUUAGCACAUUUUCACAUGAGCAACACAUCCACAUGUAGGAGCACGUCUGAUGUACCUGAGAACUCAUAUAUAUGCACCUACAGGAAGAGCAUCAAGUCUCAUAUACGGUUAAACAUUUUUUCUAUAUUCUUUGGUGCACCUGAACCUUUGCAACAUUUUUACAUAAACUUCUUGUUUUAUGGGAGAGAGAGCACUUAGCCGGAGAGGGUUCACCGUUUCUAAUGCCAGAAGAGGUCAUCGGUAGGGGAGGCAGUGUAGAAAAAAUCUUUGUGGUGUCCCGCAGCCGGUGUAGAGCCGAGUAGCACGCAGCCGGUGUCCUGCGAAGGAUCUACACGAGCGAGCAGGCGAGGAGGCACUGCACGCGGAGACGAGGUUGGACUACACGACGGUCGGUAUUGGACGGUGCAUGGGCCGCCUCGGCGCUCGAAGCUGCACUAGACAAAGCCCAGGAGGACGAGCGUCAUGCAGGACUGGUGCAACAACGUGGAUUGGGGCCGACAGGACGCUGGUGGCUGGCGGUGGAGACCAGGAGGCCGGACAAGAUGGCGUUGAGCCACUGGCGGCGUUAGUGCGGAGAAGACAUAGUGUUGCGAAGCAGAGGCCACUGUAGGGAGUGUGGACAGGGGAUUGGGAGAGUGGGGCUCACCGGCCCUAGGCGGAUCCGCGCGCGUCGAUGGUCGUGGUUACCGGAUCCUCGCCGGCGCCACACGAAGGUAGCGGUGGUUACCGGAUCCUCGGUGGCGGCUUGCGGGGCAGGCGGUGGUGGCUGGAUCCGAGGUGGUGGCGAGUUGGAUAGCUGGCGACGGCGUCUCUUGUUGGGGACAGGGCGGCGACGACGGAAGCGGUCGGUGGCGGGGCGGCGGCGGCGACGGUCGGUGGCGGGGUGGUGUUGGCGACGGGCGGUGGCGGGGCCACGAGGGCGUCUCCGGUUAGGGGCGGGAUGGUGGCGCCUCGCCAGUUGGGGGUGGGUGCCUGGGUGGUGCAGGGGAUCGGGGAUCGGGGAUGGGGUGGUAGUUUUAGAAUCGGCCUUUUCUUUUUGUUUCAGCGAUUUUCGGAGGAACCCUGCCGGGCCUUUAUAGGAAGUUGUGAUUCAAAUAACUAUUCUAAUCAUAGGAUUAGAAUAGUGCUAUUAUAUAUAUAUAUAUAUAUAUAUAUAUAUAUAUAUAUAUAUAUAUAACUAUGCAUACUGUUCCGAAGUUCAAUGUUCAGUUUACAAGCAGUGCACCAAAUGUUUAUGCAUCAGUUAUAGGAAAAAAGAUUAAAAAACCUAUGCAUAACAGAUGCAUCAGUGCUGAACAUGUCCAUUCACCAGUUCGACUGAAACUAUAUCAGAUACAAAAUAGACAACAAAGUUUAAUAACGCCUAGCGAUGCAAGUUCAACUUGUACAUUACCUUCAGUGCAUGACAUGUUACCCAUAUCAUGUAUAUGAGAAAAUGCAGAAAAGAUUAAUCCCAAAACUAUUGAAUGUCAUUCCAGAAACAUGCAAGGUGGCACACGUAGGGAGGGUUUGAUGAGCCAAGAAGAUAUGAGGCACCGUCUGGCUGGGUAACACCAGAAAUAGCACCUGGAUACUUCAACAAUACAUGCAGAUUUCAAGCUACACCAGAAUCAUGAGAAGCACGGACUGGUUCUUCUAUGCAGCAGACACCGAUAUCUAGGAAUACAAGCUUUGCCACUGCUGGGGUGCAACAAGGUCAACAAUGUCCCCAACAACAAAUAUUUUCCUUUCCUAGCGCAAGCAGAAAGGCAAGGACACUCAGGCUUCCACCCGUCACUCCAUCAACAUCAAUCAUCUGUGCUACAAAAGCGGUUGCGACGGGAAGACGAGGCCAAAGAGACAGGAAUGUUUGCCACUCUAGCAGGGUGCAAAGUAGAAGAUAUGAGCCAUAUAGAUAGGAGCAACCUGCUAGUGAAUCUCAGGGAAGACGACCGUACAAUGAGAGACGGAGAGCUUCAUCAACAUUGCUGCAUGUGCCGAGGGUGACACCACCCGCGCCCAUACACCAGGGUGAACAGCAAACACCGGAUGUAGCGCGGAGCUAUGCACAUGUAAGUAUCCAUUCAGAAAAAACAUACAACCACAGUCCAUACCCUAGUACUGUGACCACCCCAUCUAACAUUUUCAUCACUGUGUUUUUGUUUGCUCACUGUUGUGUGCAGCCACCUAACAUUGAAGCUUACGUUCUGCCAAGGCUAGAGAUGCCCUUUGAAACUUUCAAAGAAGCAAAGAACUUCUACAACGUCUAUGCAAAGCACGCGGGUUUUGCUGUCAGAGAAGACUCCAAGGUUAACACCAAGUCUACCUUUAUUGCACGUGCUAUGGAGUCUAUGAAUUGAAGGUGUCAGAAGCAAAUAGAUAGCGGAACAAGACCACAGCCAGGACUAAUUGCGGGGCUAAAAUGAGGCUGAAGAGGGAAAAUGAUGGAACACUUGUCGUAAAAGAGAUAAUCUGGGAACACAACCACAGGCUACAUCUCUCCCCCAAAUGCUUGUCUUCUUGCACUCCCACAAAAACUUUGACAAAACAAUCUUGGAGUACAUCAAGUACCCGUGGUUCAAAGGCACUGAACACGCGUAAAUCAUGAGCAUACUGCGCGGUGAUGACCCCGGUAGCUACUUCCCCGAAAUGAAUGCCAAAGACCUGAUUAACAUGUAAGUACAAACUUGUUCUCCUCCCAUAAACCCCCUCCAUCUUUUUUCCUCUGUCAGUACAAACAUAUUACGCAACACAUGACCUAAUGCCAGUUCAACAUGCAUUUUUGAAUGACUGUUCACUUUUAAUAUGCAAGAAAGCAAAGAAUUCAAGGAUGGAUGAUGUGGACGAUGUCCUAAACACUGUCAACUUAUUUAGGGAGAUGAAAGCGAUAAACAAGGAAUUCUUCUGCGACAUACAACUUGAUGAGUCCGACAGAGUGAAGAACAUAUUCUGGGCGAACGCAGGCUGCCGAGGGGCAUAUCAAGACUUUGGUGACUGCGUAACGUUUGAAACCACAUAUAAGACCAACAAGUACCAUAUGCCACUUGGGGUGUUUGUGGGUACUAACAACCACUUACAGACUAUAUUCUUUGCUUUCGCCCUGAUAAUAGAUGAGGAUGCAGAUUCAUUCACAUGGUUGUUCAAAAGCAUUUUGAAGGUGCAUGAGAGGGAAGGCUCCUUCAUGCAUCCUCACAGGUACAAACGCCACCCCCAAAGGAAAAUAACAUAGUAAAAUUAUUGUGUCGGUUCUAUUUGUAUAUAUGCACUACCAUCCGCUGACCACUCCACGUCUCUUUUCUCAUUACCAGACCAGUGCCCGGCAAUGGCUUUGGCGAUCCCAGAUGCUUUCGGGGACACAGUACAUAAGCUAUGCCGCUGGCACAUUAUGAAGAAGUACAGGGAACACCUCGCAUACCUAUACAACCUCCACGAAGAGUUUAACGAUGAAUUCACAGCAAUCCUCAACUAGCCCCUCAUGCCAACUGAGUUUGAGGCUGCCUGGAAAGCACUCAUAGAUAAGUACAACCUCCAUGAUGAUGCCACAACGGUGGCAAUGUGGAACGAGCACGAGAAAUAGAUAUCAUCUUACUUCAAAGAAAUUUUCUGUGCCAAAAUGACGUCCACACAAAGGAGUGAGAGCAUGAACUAUGUGCUCAAGAAGAACUUCAUAAGUGAGAGACAAAACCUGCACCGGUUCGUCAGCCAAGUAAACUCCUGCGUCAAAACCAGGAGGCAGACAGAGAACUAGGAGACAAUAGGUAACCGGGUAUAGCUCUAUCACCUGUCGUAAGACAAAAUAACGUGCUUACUAAAGUAAAUCUUUCUUAGUUAGACAAGUUUUUGCUGUGAGAAAAUUAAUAAUUUGUUCAUGACUCUUGCUUGCACAGAAGGAACAAAACACGCUGACCUUCUAUGGGUUUGACAAUCAGAUGGCAAAGCUUUACUCAUGAGCUGUGUACAGCGAGAUCAGAAAAAGGCUAAAACUAAGCACCCUCUUCACGGUGACAGAGACGGAAGAGCCCAGAAAGUACCUUGUGCACUACAACAAACCACAAAAACUGUUUGCGUGGUCUCAGCACGCGUUCCAGGUGGUUGCAGACCCCAUGGGAGAAAUAUUUGACUGCAAGUGCAAGCUGUGGGACCACAAAGGCGAGGUCUAAAAAAGAUGUUACAUACUGUAGUACUUAUUUUUGCAAAGUUUUUGUUCGAAUGAAAUGACAGAAAACAUGCACCUCUUUCAAAAAAUAGGUAUUUUCUGCCUGCAUGUCCUAUGCAUGAUGCAUAUAAUUAAGGCUGACCGUGUUCCAGAGAAAUACAUCCUCAGGAGAUACACCAAACACCCGAACAUCCAGCCAACAUUCAACAGAAAUGACUUGAGGACAGUAGCGUCAAACAAGGCCUCCCAAUACGGCAUUGAAAGCGCACCGCUGUAGCUGAACAUGUGGGUGCACAGAAAAAGCUUGAGAAGCCAUGAGAAAAUGGCGAGGUCACAUGUCAUCAUGGAAAGACUUGACCAAGAACUCGACGCCAUGCAUUCUGCUGAAAAUGACAAUGUCGCGGACAACGAAGCCAUUGAGCAGGAUAUUGCUACAAUCUUAUCUGAGAUGAACCAUCUGGGAGCUAUUGACCCAUACGACAACGAGGAAGAGGAGCAACAGCAACCAGAGCUUGCCCAUGUGCACACUCAAGAGCAACAACAUGCUCACGUGCAAGAUCAUGAGCUUGACGGUGCUGUAGGCGAACGACAUGAAAACAGGACAUCCUACCAGCAGCAGCAGGAAAGGGUAAUUAAACCACCCAUAUUCUCAAACACAAGGGGGGGGAUAAUAAGACGCAAGCAGCGAAAGCAGCAAAAGCAGCAGCCAAAAAGCCGCCACGCCCCAUCAGACGCGUGGAAUUCGGCCCGGAUGGCAAACCUCUCGGGAUAAGGGCAUGCGGAUUCGGCAACAUGGUGACCAAUCAUAAUUACCACACAUGCCCAUAGCACACAUAUGCCACUAUCAACAAGCAAAAGCUGUAGAAGUAGAUUGGAGCCGCCCAGGUUUCUACCAAUGGAGACGACUCACGUAACAGCUACACUUGCAACAAGUGUGGGGGGACCGACGGACAUAAUGCCCGCACAUGCAAAGUGGGCAAGGAGGUCAGUGGCGCUGAACAGAAAUAGGGCAAGGUCCAAAGUUCCAAGAAAUCAAAAGAAGAGGAUGAGGAAGAAGAGUUUGACAAGAAUGGCGACCAAUCAGAUGAAGACAAUGAAGAUGACAGUAUUGGGGACGAGGAAAAUGAAACUGACGAUGAAGCUGCCAAGGCUCAAGCAGGAAAGGACGCCAACAAGGGACAACAUUCGGGGCCAGUUAGAAGGAGCUCAAGAUUGAAGAAUCCAUAGUGGUUAUGCUGCUGCAUCAACUCAAAAAUAAGCUUGUACUCUUGGUUGCCUCGGUACACAAUGAGGAAUCAUAUCAGAAACACUGUCGUUACCAAAACUUAUUUAGCUUUAUCAUCGAUUUCUCGAUCAGUACUAUAGUUAAGAUAUAAUUUGUGAUUUGUGCCCGCUGGACCAGUGACAUUAUUACAUAAACCAUUUGAUAAACCUUUUGAAUGCAGUCACAAAUAUAUUUGAAAAAAUUGAUCUGGAUUUAUGUAACGUCAACACUACUAUCGACCAGUAACUCAGCAAAAAUUUGUUAAAGAAAAUUUAAACUCUUAUUGUAGAUCAGUAUUUGAAAACAAUCAGUACAAUUUGAGUUGCUUAACAACGCUUCAAAAGUUGAAGCAAAAAAUCUUAGUACUUCAUGUACUGUUCUCAUCCAUAUGUAGCUGCUAGAAAAUUAACAAGUACUACAACUGAAAAAGUUAAGAAGCAUCAGCACACACUUAUAUUGGUCACUUGCAGACUAAGAAUGAUAGUACUAGUACACUUGAACGGAUAGUACAUAUUUACUACAAUAAAAAGUACAAAGAAGCAUUAGUUCGCAAUCCCUCAAAGAAAUAAAUGUCAGACUAAGCACAUAAGUGCUACUAUGAAUGAACUCUCAGUACAACUUAGUUUACAUGCAAGUACUAUAGUGCUAAAAAUGAUACCAGAAGACCCUUGAGAAUAAUCACAAAAACAAACACAAAAAGAAGGCAAAAACUCAAUGGAAAGAUAACACUUCCACAAAACUCACAAGAACUACAACAAAAAGUAUCAGUCCACAUUACUGGUGGAGUCAAGUAUUAGAUUCAAACCCAAAAAAAAUUAAAAAUUGACAGCCCGAAGACAGGCAAGCCCUGACACAGCUAGAUACUUGAACUCGAGCCCACGACGGAACCGUUGGCGAAUCCCUAGUAAUCGGCACAACACAGGGCCAACCAACCAGGGCACACGGGUCAUGAGAGGGAGCGAGCGUCGUGUAUAAGUGCUCAGGUAAGUAUCCAGAGGAGUUCGACCAGUAAGACUCGACAGCGCUUAUAAACAGGUCGAGAGCCCCCUCGCUUAGCGAGGUGGGACUAAACCCAGAGCACACGCACAUCCAACAGUCCUCAAAUCGCCCGCGCGGGCCAUUUGGGCCAAAAAGGGCCCAAUAGCCUCCAUCUUCUCCAAACACCCCACCCAUAAGGCCAAUUGAAUAAAGCAGAGCGCGAGGCAAAGAAAUAUAAACUACAAAAAAAAUGUUCGAAAACUGGAAAUAAAAAAGUUCAAAUACUUGUUCGCAGGAAAUAACUUUAAAUACAAAAAUAAAAAUAAUUUUAGCUCUGCACCAUAGAUGAUAAAAAUGGAAAAAAUAUGAUAUAAAAACAACAAAACUUUGAAAAGUGGAGAACUUAAUAGGCUAUAUGUUAAAUGUACAUAAUUUAAACCAGCGAAUUAAAUAUUACUUUCAAGUUCAACUACUAAAAUGCAAGAAGUUCAAAUAGAUAUUGUUUGUCAAUUAUGCUAAAUUUCUUAUUUAUAUAAAAUCUGACUAGAGCUCAACUAACGAUUUCGUCGUAAAUAAUCUACAUCCCAAAAAAACUCAGUUCAAACAUACAUACGACAUCAGUACUACAAAACCAGGAAGGGUCAGGCCACUCACCUUACAUCCACACACCAUUGUGACACCAAUUUUCAAAACCUUACGCUAUAUGAAAUUACAAUUCAGUACCCACAGCACUAAACCAUAAGUACACUAAAAAGAGAGUACAAAAACUAUAAAGGCCUAACUUAGGUUGGGACAGAUGAAAAUAAAAUAAGUCCUAGUUUUGAGGAAUAGCUCACAGUGCAGUAAAAAAAGUUUUGAUAUCAACUAGUGUAUAAGACUACAGUGCAAAAAUAAGACUUAUCCUCCACACUAAAAACAUAACAAAGUAUAUGUCACUUAAACAAUACAAAAUGCCAUCAUCACUGACCCUGAGACAUGCAAGUGGGAUAAACACCUGAUAAGUAUAGCUUAACAAGACGGAUCAGUGCGACAGUAAAAAACCCUUGGCUUGGACGGUUGGUUCUUCCAGGCCACCACCCGCGCCACCCACUGGGCGGUUGCCACGACGGACUACAAUGGUGACCCCACGACCAGUACCCCCAUGACCGGGAAGAACCGCCUCCCCCACGUCCCAAACCACGCCCUCCAAAAGCCCCAAAUCGACUCCAUCCCUGCCACAUCUCUAAAAACCACCAUUGCCGCUUCGAUCUCCACUACAAACAACCCACAAACAUCUCUGUUCCGAGCCCACAGUCGCCAGGAGGGCAAUGGCAGAGGAACCAUCUGCCAAGCGUCAUCGUGGCGAGACGUCCGACCAGAGCAGCAACCUCGACGAUGUUCAUGUCCCCGACAAGAAGCGCGAGUACACCCGAACCCACACAGGGGUUGAGCUCCACGGCAAGGAGACACUGGAGAUUGUCUGCACCAGUGAACCAGACAAGGCUGACGAGAUGAUGAGCAGGCUCAGGAUGAAGCGCGACGGCUUGUAUCCUAGCUUCAUCGGAGUUGAUGUGGAGUUUACCAAAAAAGAUGAACCUCCCCAGAUGGCAGCAGUCCUGCAGUUAUGCGUGGAGGAACUCUGCUUGGUGUACCACAUUGCAGCAGCCACAAAAUGGUGAUCCAUACUACUCUUCAUUCAUAUGUUUUAUUAGUACUACUCCCUAAAAAUUUCAUUAAACUUGUUUCCCAACUAGAUGAACUACUGUAGUUUGUGAACUGGAUGCACGAGUACAUGUUUCUCAAGUAGAUGCGCUAUAAUAUAAUUUGAAACUGAUGCACUGGAUUAGCAUCUGAAAUUGUUUCACCAGAUUAAUUUCUGAACUUGAUGUACUAGCAUAGUUUCUAAUCUUGAUGCACUAGUGUAGUUUAUAUAGUUGAUCUAUUAAAAGAUGUUUCUAAACUUGAUGUACAGAAGUAUUUUCUGAACCUGGUCUGAUGUUAUUUUCAGCAGCAAAAAGUAAAGUAAGAAUUUGGUCAAGCACUGGUAUAGGUCUUUUAUUCAACAAAAAGAAAACUAAAAUUGAAGUAAGCAGCACAUAGAUCAUUUACUCUGGUUAUAGGUUCUUGAAAUUGGUGAAGCAUUUGGUGAAGCACUGAAGAUACCAAAAAAGAAAAAUAACAUGAUGUACUUGAAUUUAAUUUCAAAACUUUGUGUACUAGUUUCUGAACUACAUUCAUCCAUGACUUAUACUAUAUAAGCAUCUACCUCAUGGAUUAUCACUUGUAAACCAAAAAACAGAAGGAUUAAAUCUUCAAAAAAGAACACUAAUCUUCAAUAUGUGUCUCCCCCUUGCAGGCCCAAGUGCCUCAAAGAAUUCCUGCAGGAGCAGAAAUUGUACACAUUUGCCGAUUUCAGCAUUGAAGGUGACAAAAGAGAAGUUGAAGAUGUCUGGUUUGGAGAUCAACCCCAAGAACUUCACCGACAUUCAGCGCAACUGGAGAGUUCUACGCAUCGGAAAAGAGUACGACUCCUUGGCUGAUGUUGCAGCCAGUGUCAUCCACCCAUUCUACAAAAGCAUGAAGAAGAAGAUAGAUAAGGAGGAAGACCACAAACUGUGGGGGAUCAGCCCGCUCCCAUACAAGCUCAUCGAGUACACAGGAAUAGAUGUGUACGCCACAUACAAGUCAUGGAAGAUAAUUGACAACAUCAUAACAGGUUGGGAAAUUUCAAAAGAGGAGGAGGCUGACCCAUACUACCACUGCCACUACGCGAUAUGAAGAGACAUCAAAGUCUGCCUUCGUGUUGCUUGCGCUUAUGCUUGUCCUUUAACUUGUUGUUUCAAAUUUGUAGUUUGCUUUUGUUAGGUUGAGCCAGCUUUCUUAUGCCAUGUGUGUCAGGGUUGAACAAGUUUGCUUAUGUAAUCAAGUACAUCGUUCGCUUGUGUCAUUGAACAAGUUUGAUAGCUUUCUAUUUUGUUUAUCCAUCAUUUGAAGUUGAAGUAAGUUGUGAAUGAAACUUUGUGGCUGCUAUGCAACACUAGUCAUGGAGCAACAAAUCACAGAUGGAUAUUUUCACAAAAUAGUGGCAGACUAAAAACAAUAACAAAUAGUAGCCUUGGACGCUCAGUACAACUUUGUCCUAUAUUGUAGUACUAUCACACUAAAAAUUAGUUUUUAGUUUCAGAAGAACACUAAAAAUACUAAGUUGCAGCCGAGGACAACAUUCAGUACUAAUAGCAUCAUGCUUAUAGUCAUUAGAAAAUUACUAAGUACUACAACAGGAAAAACCAAGAACCAUCAGUACGUAUUUCAUAGUCACUAGCAUACUAGGUGUGAAAGUACUGGUACACUUGAACACAUAGUACAUCCAUUCUACAAAAAUAAAAAGGAACGGGAAGUGUCAGUUCGCAUUCCCUAAAACAGUGACACACUAAGAAUAAUAGUGCUAGUACAAUUGAAAUCUCAGUACAACCUAGUUUAUACGACAAGUACUAUGAUGAUACCAAAUAAUGCCUUGAGAAUAACCACAGCCUAGAAAAAAGAAGGCCAAAACUAAAUCAAAAAGAUGUCAGUUCGACCAAGGAGAAAAAACACAAGAACCACAACAGAAGCACCAGUCCAAAUUGACCAAUGAGGUACUAGUUUCAAACAAUACAAAACAAAAUGAUCAUGGUGCUAGUACAAUUGAAAUCUCAGUACAACUUAGUUUAUAUGGUAAGUGCUAUGAUGAUACCAAAUAAUGCCUUGAAAAAGAAGGCCAAGACUCAAUCAAAAAGAUUACAGUUCAAUCAAGGACAAAAAAUCACAAGAACAAACAACAGAAGCAUCAGUCCACAUUAACCAGUGAGGUACUAGUUUCAAACAACCAAAAAAAUGAUGACCACCCAUGGACAGGCCAACCAUGCACAGGAGGAUACACUUGGACUCAAGCCCAUGACGGAACCAUUGGCGAAUCCAUAGUAAUCGAGACUAUGCGGGCCAGCCGUCAAGGGCCAACAGGUCAUGGAAUAGAGAGCGAGCGCCGUGUAUAAGCGCCCAGGUUAGUAUAUAGAGGAGUUCAACAGGCAAGGAACAACAAUGCUUAUAAACCGGUCGAGAGCCCCCUCGGCUAGCGAGGUGGGACUAAACUUAGAGCACUUGCAUAGCCAGCAGUCCACAGUCAUGUGCACGGGCUAUUUGGGCAAAAAAAGGGCCCAAUACGACUACUACUCCCUCCUCUCCAAACUCUCCUCGCCCCACCCCAUAAGGCCCGCUGAAUAAACCAGAGCGCGUGCCAAAGAAAAUAUAAACUAGUACAAAAAAGUUCGAAAACUUAAUAUAGAAACGCUCAAAUACAUGUUUGCACGCAAAAUAAUUCUAAAUUCAAAUACAAAAAUAAAAUAAAUUUACCUCUUCAGCACAGAUAAAAGGAUUAAAAAUAUGCUACAAAAACAAAUAUACUUUGAAGUUCAACUAUAUAUGCUACAAAAAUAAUUAUGAACUUAAUAGGGCUAUCUGUUAAAUGUAGCUAAUUUAACCAGUGCUUUAACUUUUACUAUGAAGUUGAACUACUAGAAUGCAAGAAGUUCAAACAAAUAUUUGGCUCUCAAUUUUGCUAAAUUUCUUAUACAAGGAAGCAUCACUCCACUCAUGCUAGAUCCACAAAUACUAUUGUGACACCAAAUUUUAAAAGCCUUAUGUUGUAUGAAAUUACAAUUUGGUACUCACAGAACUAUACCAUAAGUACAAGAAAAGAGGGUACAUAAACUAUAAAGGUCCAACUUAGGUUGGGACCGAUGAAAAUAAAAUAAAUGUCACCUUUUCAGCAACAACUCGUAAUGCACUUGGAAAAAAGUGUUUUAGUUCAACUAGUAUAUAAGACUUCAGUGCAAAAAUAAAACUUAACCAAAACAAAUUCCCGAUAAAACAUACACAAGUGAAACAGCUGUUCAACCACAUUCUCAUCAUGGAAAAAAGUUUGUAAAACGUUGUGCCACACUUAAAAACAUCACAAAGUAUACCGGUUAUUACAUAGUUGACAAGACACCCAAACACUACAUACAAAGCCUACAAUGCUUUCAAGACAUAAAUCACACAAGUAUCCCAUUCACUAUGCAAAUGAUAACCAUUUGUUCUAUGCACCAGGAGCCAAAGCUUGAACCUCCUCGGGAAGCUUGUAGCACCCCAGCUUAGAGCAACCAGUUUACCUUGCAUUGCCAGCCUAGAGAUCAAGUCUUCUGGCAACACACAACAACUUGGUACAAAAAACAACCACUUUAUUGAUGCUAGCAGAAACAUAGGUUCAAUAUUACAUCAAGUAGCGAGGCCAAGCAGCACACACGGUGCGGCUGAACAAUAUGUACAUUAUUUAAUGAACAUGAAGGGGCCUCGAUCACGAUAACUACGCGACAGCGGAACGACGACGAAGCGGAACUCCAUAGCACAGGGACACCGAUGUGGACACGAUCUAGACACGGGAAGCACUUCGAUCCGGUAAGACUUUCCUGAAAUCUGGCAUGACACGCCAGGUCAGUACAUUGAAUGUACUUGCAAGCUCACAACAAGCAUAAGCAUAAUGGCAAACAAUAUCAUGACAAUUAAUCAAUUUAAAUGGAAUGCAAUAACAUACUACUAAUGUAGUGAAUAAAACUUGUGCACCGAGUCCCUCGGACUCUCUUACCAAACGGGUUACCUCGUAACCAAGAUCAUCAUACGGUGAUCACUCCCGGAUCACAGACGAACCAACACUUUGGUUCCGACGAUAACGACCAUCUUCAUGGUCUCACAAAUCCCGUCACAUAAUCAGUGCCAAGCAUAUAAGUUUAGUGUGCAAGAUUACUUAAUCAUGUUGAUCCAUGGUGUGAUCUACUUACGAGCUGUGUCCGUAACUGAGGAUGCGGCUAUCGAUAGAUUUAAUAAACACUCUGCGGAGGUAGUAGACUGGACCCACACUACGGAACCCAUGGCCGUGUCUCGUCUCUCUUCCGCAUGAGGCGUGCGAGCCGCGAGGUACCCCUCGAUGCUGGAAAGCCUCGUGGACCGCGGAGGAACGGAUGGGAUAUUCGGGGCUGACCCAGUUGAAACCCAGUGUGCCAAACGGCACUCUUGGGCUUUUAGGGGCUUUAAGCCUGACGGGGAAAUCCACUAAAAAACCCUGUGAUCGCAGUGUGCCAAACAAGGCCUCAUGCCUUGUUAGGCAGGAAGGGUUUUCAAGCCCCAAUGGGGCUGGGGAUUAUUGGGGAUUUGGUGAACCCCUCCCCGCACCAAAUCCCCUCAAAUCCACUUCCGCCUCCCAAGCCCCUUCCCCAUCUAUCCAUAUAUGAGUGUUUGGCAUGUAGGGACAAAUUUGGUCCAUUUUAAACAUGAACUUCAACAACACACUGGUAAAAAUCCGAUCUUUACUAUUGAACAGGCUGAAGCAUCAGUGGCCAUAUCAUCAAGUACUACUAAAAGCAACAAAUCAUAAUCUUUAAGAUCAAUGGCAUCUAAACUAAGAACAUCAAAGGCCAUACAACACGAUCAGAUCAUAGUUUAAACAUCAUAUGUCAAACACAGGCAUGCAUCAGCAUGUACCAACGACACCUAGGGUGCAACACAAACAUCACUUAAAUUCGGUUUCUGCUUCCCAGCAUAGUUUCAGUUUCGCAACGACAGGCAUGCAUCACUUCAGUUCCAUCGCAUCCCUGAAAGUAGCAACUCAAUCAAAACAUUAGACAUACCAGUCAAACAAUUCACAGCUACAAGAGUACUUCAAAUACUUUCUGAAGAAAGAAAAGUAACAGGGGGGAAAUAUGGCAUGGAGCCCGUUUCUUAUACUUCAUGAUCUAAAACAGAUGGACUCACUCUCCUUUGUCAAAAAGUAUAACAAAAUUUAUAUGUGAUGUACUUGAGCCAGAUUUAACUUGAUGCAAACAGAGAAAAGCAAGCUCUAGCAUCAGGUCACAUAGAUAUCUCACAUCGAGUACUAGCACUGGAAACUCACAACUAAAAAUUUAUACGUACAUACCAUAUAUACACUACAGAAGGUUGACAGAAACUCUUUGCAUAUACACUGCGGAUCAUAUAUAUGUACAGAUCAUAUCUAUGUACAUCUCAAAACUAAAAAUUUAUAUGUACAGAUCAUAUAUACAACUACAAAUUUUGAUUUAGUAUGAUUGUUCAGUACCAAAGUGUAUCUAUUUCUCUAACAAAAACACUACAAUUACUUUCUUGCUGAUUGCCCAACAUUAUGGUUUAGUUUCUUCCUACUAUUUGCCCUUUAUUCAAAUUAGUAUGCAUACAAAGCAUUCAUUCACAAGAAAAACAUGUUUGUUCCAAGCUAAUCAGGAAUAGGAGCUUAUGUAUAUUCUCAGUUCGGAGAUGAGAAAUUGAUUUCUAGCUAAUCAGGAAUAUGAGCUUAAGAACAAGACCAAGCAAGCAAGAACAUUAUGAACCAGAUCAAAAUACCUCUUCUAGGUAGGCAACUCAUCCAUUUCGCUCCGAAGCCACAUGACCGCACUCUCUUCUUGAAGUUUGAUGAACAUGUAAGAUAACAAAGAGCUCGCUAUUACAUUAUAACAAAGAGCAUCAUAAAUGUUUGUUCUAAGCUAAUCAGGAAUAAGAGCUUAAUUAUAUUCUCAGUUCAGACAUGUGCAUGCAUAUGCUCAGUUAGCAACCACAUAAAUAUACUACAACUAGUCAUCUCAGAUGAGAAAUUGAUUUCUAGCUCUUGUCUGCAUGUAUUUUACUCAUCUUAGCAAAUCACACCAGUAACAGUUAACUUCGACCAGUUUUGAAUUUCAUCAACAUCUAACACAGGACAAUGUAGAUAUAUUUUUAGCACAUAGUGCCAAAAUUAAUCAGAUUGAUGUUAUACCAAUGAAACUUAUGUGCAGCAAAAUGAUUCUCUACUCACAUUUCUGCACUACAUCCAAUUGUCAAUAUCUAAUACAAAAUGGUUGGCUGUAUUUUGUUAC
Molecule: long non-coding RNA, 15930 nt
Filed under: Triticum aestivum (bread wheat)
Lineage: Eukaryota; Viridiplantae; Streptophyta; Magnoliopsida; Poales; Poaceae
Description: long non-coding RNA (TAES_LNC019624)
Source: RNAcentral